Long non-coding RNA from Polypterus senegalus (gray bichir), 1578 nucleotides. RefSeq lists it as uncharacterized. The record is from RefSeq and is a predicted model, not a curated record. The transcript has 5 exons. Lineage: Eukaryota; Metazoa; Chordata; Cladistia; Polypteriformes; Polypteridae.
GCCACAGGAAACAUGUUUAUGUCGGAUAAUCGAGUUUAAUUGUUUAAGGUUCCAUAAAGAGUCUAACAGAAGGUGGACUAUUUCAGAUCUCGACAUUCCGCGGACAUCAAGACGCGCUGUUAAAUUCGGUGACACGAAUCAUGAUUGUUCCUUGUAACCGAGACACUUUGACUUUUGGUUGAACGCUAUUCUGACAGAAAAAGAGAGGGUGCAAGAAUAGCUUCAGUCCUGGCCAAGAUGGAAGGUGAUGCAAGACACUCAAGAACGACAUGGUACACUGGAACAGUGACGGUACUUGAUAUGGAGCAGAGACUCUCCUAUAUCAAUGAAGAAGACUGUGAAUGGGAUUUUCUCCACCUUGCAUAAGAUGAUAGCUGCAUGAAGGAGGGGGUAUGUUUUCUAAAGAGGAGGAUUCUGGAAACUGCUCUGUUAGUCUUGGAAUACAAAACCGUCAACCUGGAAACGGUUUUAAGGAGGAUAUGAUGUCAGAGAAUAACUCUAAUUUACAGACCUGUCCAGCAGUUCAAAUCCAGAUGGUUUAUACAAGACCAGGGCAGCAGUUGUGCCGGAGCAUAUCCCAGCUAGGAUAAGGAACAAGGCAGGAGGAAACCCUGGACAGGUACCCACACCAAGAACAGAACAAACGGACGCAACAGCCGAGUUAGCAUUGCCAAUUCACCGAAACUGCAUGUCUUUGGACUGUGAGAGGAAAUCUACACAGAUGUGGGGAGAACAUGCAAACUCUACACAGGAAGGACGCCAUUCACAAACCUCAUUCUACUUACUAUGAGGCGGCAGCAGCACUACCACUGCUCCAUUGUGAUGUUGGAAUAAACAUACAACUGUAAUAAAGGUUACUAAAAGUCAGAAAGAAGCACCAACUUCCUGGGGGUGCACAUCAUGGAUACAAACACCACUUCCCUUUUCAAGAAAGCAGAGCAGCACCUUCACUUUCUGUGACGGAUGAGGGAGAGAAAUCCCAAUAAAACUCCCAAGUCCUCACAGCAUUGUCCAGAGACACUAUAGAGAGUAUCCUGACCAGCAGCCUCACAGUCUGGUAUGGCAGCUGCUCUGUUUCAGAUCAGAAGUCCCCCCAGGGAGUGGUGAAGACGGCAGAAGAAAUCAUCAGAACCACCGUCCCGUCUGUACAAGAUUUGAACUUGUCACGCUGCCUUAGGACAGCUACUUCGAUGGUCAGAGACCCCAUGCAUCCAGCCCAUACAUUGUUCGGCCAGACUCGAUAGGAGUAUCUUCACACAGGCCAUCAGACUAAUAAACUCCCACCAACAACAAGAAACAUGCUGACCUAUUGGAUUCCUGAACACACACAACAGACUGUUUCAACACAUAUAUUCGGAAUCUUGUAUCUCCUAAAAUGCUCUUAUGUCCAUGCAUUAUGUUAAUGUUUUUCGACACUUGAACACAUUACAACUAUUCACCAAUGUGUCUAUUGGAUUAUCAAUAUAUUCUGUCUGUUUAUGCUGUCUGUCAUGUCUGUCUGUUGUUGUAUAACGUGCACUUCUCUCUUGUUUGUGUUUGUACACUGAGCUUGGAACAAUACAAUGUCAUAUAAUCCUU